This 815-nucleotide long non-coding RNA is filed under the name Homo sapiens (human). RNAcentral's name for it is "long intergenic non-protein coding RNA 1091". Lineage: Eukaryota; Metazoa; Chordata; Mammalia; Primates; Hominidae. The record is from RNAcentral.
UGACAUGAGAACCUGCAUUUAAAACCACAGAUUGGGCUCUGCUUGCUGGACCCCAGGUGACGAUAUAUCCACGUAUUCUGUUAUAAAUUUGGGUUUGUAUGUUCAUAAUGUGUGGCACUCUCUAAAGUGUGAGGCCCAAAGGAGGAUAUUCUUACACAGGCCUGAAGUGGUUGGACUGAGUCCCAUGAAGCCAGAUCACUUCUGACUGCAAGGAGCUUGGAAAAGCAAGUAUCUGGAUCUUUUACCAGCUAAAUUUGGAGAAUUAUUGAUCAAAUUUGGAUCUCUGUGUGCUGUCCUCCAAUUUAAUACUUUCUGUGUUGCUGUUUUAUUUUCUUUCUUCUGGAACCUGGCAAAGUGCGUCAAGCGAUGAGGCUUCCUCUUUGAAGAUCACAGGUGAGAAGAUUAGGUGCUUUCUCAGAAGCCCAGCAACCUGAUGGGAGUGUGGAGUGAGCAAGACCCAAAUCGGAGCUUCAUCCCUGCAUGGUUCAUUUUGCUUAUUUGGCAAACUUGCCCUGCAGGUGAAAACAUUGGAAUCUUGUGAACCUCAACCUGUGUUUUACAUAUGUAUACAUGAAGCAUCCAAUGGCAUUACACCUCAGCCAGAGAAGAAGCUCUUAAGAGAUCAGGUGCCUCAUUUCACCCAUGGGCUGCUCCAGCAUUUCCAGCCUCCUCACUCCUGACACAUACAGAUUGAGAAAUUAAGGUCGCAUCAUAUAAGUGAAGUUGAACACUACUUUUCUAAUACCCUACAUCAGGUACGUUCCUAAAUAAACUGGAACUUACCUCAGAAGCCUCAGAAAAUUAGGAAAAUAAAA